UACGUAGGCAGCGAGCGUUGUUCGGAGUUACUGGGCGUAAAGGGUGCGCAGGCGGUGGAGCAAGUCUGUUGUGAAAUCUCCCGGCUUAACCGGGAGGGUGCGGCGGAAACUGUUCUGCUGGAGUGAGGGAGAGGCAAGCGGAAUUCCUGGUGUAGCGGUGAAAUGCGUAGAUAUCAGGAGGAACACCUGCGGUGUAGACGGCUUACUGGACCAUAACUGACGCUGAGGCACGAAAGCGUGGGUAGCAAACAGG
Molecule: ribosomal RNA, 253 nt
Filed under: uncultured bacterium
Lineage: Bacteria
Description: partial 16S ribosomal RNA
Rfam family: Bacterial small subunit ribosomal RNA
Source: RNAcentral